ACCUGGCUGGUUCAAUCAGUAGAGCACGGGACUCUUGAUCUUGGGGUCAUGAGUUUGAGCCCUAUGUUGGGUA
RNAcentral lists this transfer RNA (73 nucleotides) under Canis lupus familiaris (dog). It matches the Rfam family "tRNA". From Rfam's summary of the family: Transfer RNA (tRNA) molecules are approximately 80 nucleotides in length. Their secondary structure includes four short double-helical elements and three loops (D, anti-codon, and T loops). Lineage: Eukaryota; Metazoa; Chordata; Mammalia; Carnivora; Canidae. The record is from Rfam by way of RNAcentral.